RNAcentral lists this transfer-messenger RNA (354 nucleotides) under Rhodobacteraceae bacterium S2214. It matches the Rfam family "Alphaproteobacteria transfer-messenger RNA". Rfam says of the family: Bacterial tmRNA, also known as 10Sa RNA or SsrA, is named for its dual tRNA and mRNA-like properties. Its role is to liberate the mRNA from a stalled ribosome. To accomplish this part of the tmRNA is used as a reading frame that ends in a translation stop signal. The record is from RNAcentral. Lineage: Bacteria; Pseudomonadati; Pseudomonadota; Alphaproteobacteria; Rhodobacterales; Paracoccaceae.
GAUCUUGCGCUUGGUGGAUCAAAGCCCCAUAUCUAAGAUGUCUCUUCGGGGACUAUGGAUAUAAACGAGCGUGUUAUUAGCUGGGCCGGACCGGGGUGCGACUCCCCGCAGCUCCACCAAAAAUCCUUUCAUUUGAAGGACUAUGGGGCUGAAUUAGGAUCGACGGACUGUGAACGGGCGUGUCUUUAUCUCGGUGAGUUACCACCGAUAUCGGUACAAACUGUACAAUUGCAAAUGACAAUCGUGCUCCGAUGGCGAUGGCUGCGUAAGCAGUCCUAACUAUCGAAACUUAACUCCCUAGGAUUAGCGUCUUAGGGCGGGGUUCGCAGGUACCUGGCAACAGAAACCUGCACU